CCUACGGGAGGCAGCAGUAGGGAAUAUUGCUCAAUGGGGGAAACCCUGAAGCAGCAACGCCGCGUGGAGGAUGAAGGUUUUCGGAUUGUAAACUCCUUUUUUUAGAGAAGAAAAUGACGGUAUCUAACGAAUAAGCACUGGCUAACUCCGUGCCAGCAGCCGCGGUAAUACGGAGGCUGCAAGCGUUACUCGGAAUCACUGGGCGUAAAGAGCGCGUAGGCGGGAUAGCAAGUCAGAUGUGAAAUCCUAUGGCUUAACCAUAGAACUGCAUUUGAAACUGUUAUUAGAGAGUAUGGGAGAGGUAGGUGGAAUUCGUGGUGUAGGGGUGAAAUGCUUAGAGAUCAAGAAGAAUACUGAUUGCGAAGGCGGCCUGCUAGACCAUAACUGACGCUGAUGCUCGAAAGCGUGGGUAGCAAACAGGAUUAGAUACCCGAGUAGUC
This 440-nucleotide ribosomal RNA is filed under the name uncultured bacterium. RNAcentral describes it as "partial 16S ribosomal RNA". It matches the Rfam family "Bacterial small subunit ribosomal RNA", at positions 338 to 795 of the family's 1533-position model. The record is from RNAcentral.